AUCAGAACAGACUGACGAUUAGAGACUAGUGAAUCCUGGUCGAGUGGGUAUCGGUAUGUAUAAUGUAUAUAUAUAUAUAUAUAUAUAUCUUCAUUCGGCGGUCAUAUCUUAAUUAAAUAAAGUAAUUAAACUGAUGAUGGUCAGCAGUCGUGGUCGAACUACGAUCAAUCGUUACAUACAUUUUUAUCUAUCUUAUAUGUUUUAUAAUCACCGCCAUAAUACGUCCAUAUUGUUUUCAGUUGUAGGUACAGCACGUUUCUGUGCGUACAUCCACGUCAUUUACGAUUGAUACGGCAAUUAUAUUAUAUAUAAAUUAUAUAUUUAAUUUUUUUAAAUUUACUAUAGAACAAUUAUUAUAAGUUUAUUUCGAAUAUUGUGUAGUCUGCAAAUAAUACUUAGGUAUACAUUUUUGUUUUAUUUUAUACUAUUAGUUAUUAUGUAGUUACAAUUUACAAGUUUAAAACCUAUAUUGUAAGUUUAUUUUUCACUGAUUUAUAUAACUUAAAAUAUUUAUAUUAUAUAUUAUUAAAUGACGUGUAACUUUCUACCAUUUAUACGCAAUCAUUGUAAAAAAUUAAAUAUAUUAAUAUAUCGUGAUCAAUGUUGUUUUAUAUAUAUACGUGUUAUUAAUUAAUAUUACGAAUUAUAAUAAACUGUUUUGAAACAAAGAAAUAUGGCAAGUAGCAUUAGAGAAAUCGAAACGGACGACAUCAUAUGUACGAAGAUUCCUAACAAAAUAUCUGUAGUUAUUUAUUGAAUAUCUCCUGAGUCUGGGUGCUUUCAAAUACAAUGAACCUAGAUAGCUAGAUAACCAUUUCCUCGGGAUGUUUUGCAUCUAACGCCGACACGUCAUUGUAACGCUUAUGACGUUUGCGUAUUUACGUGCUUUAAAUCGACUGCUGAUCAAAUCAAGAUUGCGUAAUAUUAUAUCAAAAUAUCAAUAUUCAAUAAAUAUAAAUACAUUAUGUUCUCUUAUUCUCGUGCAUGAUGCUUACCUCUUGUGGGACCAAUAAUCUUCGGGAACGUUCAAGUACUGUUCGGGCUUGUGUUCAACUGGAAAACACGCCACGGCCAGGUUAUCGUUCGGAACCGACAGAGAUCGAAUAGAUCCGAACGGUUCGUCCGGAAAUAGAGUGUUUCCGCUGUACAGUUCUUUACAAGCACUGGAAAUACAUCAAAGGAGAAAAAAUAAUAAAAUAAGAACACACACAAAACACAAAAUAAGAAUUCAGCCAGAUCAGAUUGUAUAACACCCACCCGUGCGCGGAAUCUGUGAAUAUCAAAAAUGGUUUUGGCGUCGGACAAGUGGACACUGGACUCGGGCUUCUGGUGUUGCUCCCGUGCGCACCGUUGUGCGGACAUUGCGGCGGCAAGUCUUCGAUGGCCAACGUUUCCUAUUUUUCGUUACACACUCACAAGAGAAUUUCCUCGGAUCGGGACCAGGACUGAUUGGAAAGAAGUCACCGUGGACGGGACAGUGAAAUCCAACCCGAGUUUGCCGGAAGCGGGCUUUCGUGCUGAUUGUCCGAAGCACAGCUGUUGCGAUGAACAUUACGAUCGAUACGACCAGACAUAUAGGUCCCAAUAAUCGUCCGUUGUUCGAUGACGUAUAGAACUUGCGUUUCGAGUCGUCUUCGCCAUUUCCAGUUACCCAGCCAAAAUAAAUCGAUGGCCCUAAAUUGCCUAUACAGAGCGCCGUCUUGAACAUAUACAAAAUGACAAUAAAAUGAAAUAAUAUAAUAUAAUUUUAUUUUACGAUACAAAUCAUUUUAAUAUAUUAUAAAUUAACAACACUACCCUUGCUUUUUAUAAGUAUAUACGAGCAUCAGUGAAAAACAAUUAUGUUAAAAUUAAAUUAAAAAAUUUAAUUGUGAGUGAGUCCAUUCAAAAUGUGUAUCUUUUAUAGUUGCGCAAGUCUAUGCGAUAUUAAGUAUUGUAUAUUUGUAUUACUAAGAUACAUAGUUAAAUUGUUUUGUUUUUAUUGAAAUUUUAACUACGGUUGUUGAUUUUGAUUAGCCGUUUAUGGACCAUUUAUUUCCAUUGCUAUGCUUCUGAUUUGUUAUUAACAUACAAACGACGAUAUCUAUAACCUAUUAUUUCAGGUUUGCAUUGACGAACAAUUUCUUAAAAAGUUUUAGAAACUUAAUUUUUAGAUAGUUUAUAAUAAUUUAUUUUUUAAAAAAGGUAGGCAAGAGUGUACCACUCUGCUGAACGAUAGGCAUCGAGUAGAUCACUAUUAUGGGCGUGUUAAAUUUGAAUUCAAUGAUAGGUAUUUCAUUGUAUACGAAAAACGAUUCACACCAUCACACCAUAUCAAAUCAAAAAAGCAUCACUCAACAUCAGGCUCCACAAAUUAAGACCACUACUCCGAUCCAAAAUUUCUAUAAACAACAAAACACUAAUUUAUAAACAAUUACUACGUCAAUAUGACCUAUGGAAUCCAACUUUGGGGUACAUUAAAAAAUUCAAACCUAACCAAACUUCAAGCUUUUCAGAACAAUGUAUUUUUGUGUCCUUUCUAAUGCUCCUUGGUACGUCAACAUACCAAUGCCCAACAUCAUCCACACUUGCUUCCUAUCACUACAAGACAUUUCAUAGUAACUGCUUUAAUCACUCAAAACCCCUCAUAUCAAAACUAUCUGCUCGCACAUUACCUGACAAACCCAUCCGUCAAGGACCGUCUCAAACGUAGAUAGUCACGUAUUUAUUAAAUAACAC
Molecule: long non-coding RNA, 2718 nt
Organism: Rhopalosiphum padi (bird cherry-oat aphid)
Lineage: Eukaryota; Metazoa; Arthropoda; Insecta; Hemiptera; Aphididae
Exons: 6
Source: RefSeq, a predicted model, not a curated record